RNAcentral lists this long non-coding RNA (1552 nucleotides) under Pan troglodytes (chimpanzee). Its description in RNAcentral is "lincRNA". Lineage: Eukaryota; Metazoa; Chordata; Mammalia; Primates; Hominidae. The record is from RNAcentral.
AAAACUCAGCUUUGCCCCUGCCCGGAGUUUCCCUUCCCGGGGCCCGCUGGGGAAGCAUCCGCGGCUGGUGGUGGCUGUGGUUUGGUGCCGAGGACUCACACGUAAAAGGAGCUCAUUCGGAGGCAGGGGCACGCGCUUGUCCCCAGAACUCAAACCCCAGAGUCCCUCCGGCAGAUGAGAGUGGAGUCUGUAAAUCACCCUCCAUGCAAUGGUUCAUCAUAAAGGAUAUGGAGCAAAAUUAGAGGAGGCACGAGAAGGAAAGCCGGUGAUGAACAAGGAUUUGCCUCAACUACAGAGACAGCAUGGAACACGCCCUCCUAGGCUGCCCACAUCCUCAUCUGCAUGGGGGCACAGAAGCCUGGCCAUUCAUCCCAUGGGAGACUCAGGACAUGCUCCCAGCAACCUGAUGGGCUGCCCAAGGCUUGGCUGAUCCUGCAUCCCUGCAUCACAUCUCAGCUUCUCCCUCUGCCCAAAUCUACUUCCUCCCCAUUCCUUUCACAGUCAUUGAUUCCCUGAUAAACACCUUGCACCCCAUAUUCCAUCUCAGAGUCUUCUUGCAGAGAACCCAACCUGUGGCAGAGCUGGUCUCAGGACUCGGAGCGAGGGAGCAGGGAAAGAGGACAGGAAAGCAGGGAGAGUCAAUUUAAGGGUACGUUGUCUGAGACAAAAAUUCUGCUAGGACCUCUGAGAUGGGUACAAGAUGCCUGGAGCCAUUCACUGGGCAGUAUCUGUCCAUCAGCUCCCAGGCCCCACAGAACCGGAGCUGCCUGUGAGGGCUUUCACUGCCCUGCAUUUCUGGGCUUCACAUAUGCACUGGCUGAGAGGGCUCCCUGUCUUCAAGGACGAUCCUGAGCAGAAAGUGGGUGCACUUGAGGUGGCAUGCUGUUGCGAGAGUCUGAGCUUUAUGAGAAGCAGACCCAGGGGGCAUGGUGUGGGGCAUCCCAAAGGACGUGCCAUACAUUAGGUGCCUUGGUCUUGGGGAGGAGCCCUCGGGAGUUCUGAGGGUAGGAGAAGAGGUAGGUGGGGUUAAUCCUUUCCCAUUCCCUCCCUGCCUCAGCACCAUGGCUCAGGCAGUAGUGCUGCCAGCUCUUCCUGGGAUCAGAGUCAUGGCCCUGCUCCCCUUUUCCCUUCAGGCUGAGGAACAUAAGGGCUUCCCAUGGUUGCUGGUGUCUGAGUGCCUCAACCUCCCUUGCUGGUUCCUUUCCCCUGCCCACACCUUUGUCAAUAGUUCCCCCCACUGAAGUCUCUUUGGUUGAGCAGUUGGUGGGGAUGCUGACUGACAAAGUGGUCUAGGCCACUGCUCACUGCUUAAAGCCUUGCUUCAGAGAGACCUUGCAGGGCCCUGCAGCUCCCCCUUCUCCAACCCCUCCAACCCUUCUCCCUCCCAGCUGGUCUGGGUUCCCCACGGCAUCUACUUGCUUUUGAAUCUAUUUCUUAUAGAUACAUGUGUGUCCUCCUCUCUCACAGCCUUACCUUUUCAUAUGGAGGAAGAAAAACCCCAUUUCUAUAAAGCUAUUAAAUGUUUUCCUUUCACAAACACCAGUUUUGUACA